RNAcentral lists this ribosomal RNA (445 nucleotides) under uncultured bacterium. RNAcentral describes it as "partial 16S ribosomal RNA". It matches the Rfam family "Bacterial small subunit ribosomal RNA", at positions 354 to 796 of the family's 1533-position model. The record is from RNAcentral.
GUAGGGAAUAUUGGUCAAUGGACGAAAGUCUGAACCAGCCAUUCCGCGUGCAGGAAGAAGAUUCUAUGGAUUGUAAACUGCUUUUAGCAGAGAAGAAACGCCUUCAUUGAUGAGGGUUUGACGGUAUCUGCGGAAUAAGCACCGGCUAACUCCGUGCCAGCAGCCGCGGUAAUACGGGGGGUGCAAGCGUUAUCCGGAAUCACUGGGUUUAAAGGGUGCGUAGGCGGGAAAUUAAGUCAGUGGUGAAAGUCUGUUGCUUAACGAUAGAAUUGCCGUUGAUACUGAUUUUCUUGAAUUGGGUUGAGGUUAGCGGAAUGUGACAUGUAGCGGUGAAAUGCAUAGAUAUGUCAUGGAACACCAAUUGCGAAGGCAGCUAGCUGGGCCUUGAUUGACGCUGAGGCACGAAAGCGUGGGUAGUGAACAGGAUUAGAAACCCUUGUAGUCC